AGAACUGUAAGACAAAGAAGAUGCUGAAGCUGCAUGGAGACGGGUGGCAGGGAGCACUGUCACCCACAGCUGGAGGAGCAAGGAAGCCAGGAAUAGAACAGAGACCCUCAGAGAUGGAGACACAGGUACUGGGCACCACGCUAUUGUGUCUGUAGCGUAUUUUGCUGUCAUAAUAACCUGACAUCGUGGGUCUCAUCACCGACAGCUGCACUUCACAGAGGGGGAUUUGAAGGCAUUUGGGAAGCUAUGUAAGUCCACAUCAUAGAGCUGCUCACCGACAGGAUCGCAUCUAGCACAGAAUCACUGAGCCCCGAGCACAUGCCACCCACUACACUACCUCGCUCCAGGACAGUAAGAAACCCUCAUGGCAGCCUAUGCAGUCACCAAGAAAGCAGUUAUAAAAGAGUGUAUGUGCUGGGCCUUGUACACCCAGUGCACGCCCCACAAAAAUGAGGCUCCAAAGUGUGUGCUCGCCUGAGCUGCAGUGGCAGUCACCCCACACAUGGAUAAACCAGGAGCCACGGCCCAGCUCUGCUUUCAGCCUGUUCUUUCUCCGCAUGCGAAGAAGCUUUUCAGACAUGCCGAAUGGGAAGGUGACCACUGCGCUUUGAAACCCCAGCCUCCCCAAUCCUAAUCAAGACAGCUGGGUCCCUCUGCGCACCGACAUCUAUGCAUGGAUAGCAUUGUCUGCUGGCUGGGUGUCAUCCUCUGCGUCGGGAAUAUUCUCCUAUUUCCCCCCAAGCCAUGUGUUGCCUUGGAAACAUCAUGAUUCUUACAGAGAUCUAAGCAAAGAGAAAUAAUAAAAAAUAAUAAAA
This is a long non-coding RNA of Meriones unguiculatus (Mongolian gerbil), 815 nucleotides long. RefSeq lists it as uncharacterized. NCBI's taxonomy places the organism in Eukaryota, Metazoa, Chordata, Mammalia, Rodentia, Muridae. The record is from RefSeq and is a predicted model, not a curated record. The transcript has 3 exons.